CCAUACUCUUAAAUGAAUAACUGGUAGUCCAGCCAAGCGCACGAAGAUGGGGACCCUCACCAUCGGACAAAACGAGGGUACUAAGC
This 86-nucleotide transfer RNA is filed under the name Salmonella phage FSL SP-058. RNAcentral's name for it is "tRNA-Ser". The record is from RNAcentral. Lineage: Duplodnaviria; Heunggongvirae; Uroviricota; Caudoviricetes; Schitoviridae.